GGCGCCGUUCGCUGCUGCGGCUCCCGCUGGGCUGCGGGCGCCAGGGGUCAGCGGGGGACCUCCAGCCCAGCCCAGGAGGCAGCCCGGCUGCCCGUGUGCAUAAAUAGCGUCAUUUGUUCACCGGCUGAGAGCCGCCGUCCGGUUCUAAUCGGCGACAAAUGGGGGUGGGAGAAAAGGGGGAAAGGGAGGAUGAGGGUUACAAUAACGAGAUUACACGCUCGCUUAGGUUCCUUGUGUGCGCGUCUUUGUGGUGCUGCCGGGCCUUUGUGCGGCGGGUGGAGGAAUGAGUGAGGAAGUGGGGCCGGGGGCAAAGAGCGCGGCUGGGGCGGGCCCGGGGAAAACAAAGAGGCAGCGGUGCGGCCGCGAGCACAGCCGUGAGCACAGCCCGAGCGGGUGGUGCCGCCUUGGGGUCUUGGAGCUCGGAGUCCACCUCCAGGUCCUGUCAGUCGACACCGGUUUGGGGUCUGUGAGGUUUCCUUCCCAGCUCCCAGCACUUGAUGCUUUGCGGAUCGUGUCUGUGCGAGAGGCGGAGGUCAGAGUGCAGUCGUUGCCUGUAUCAGUGUGCAGGGCUGACUCACUGGGCUCCGUGCUGCCGUGCUCUGCAGCCACAAAAAUUGCUGCUGAUGCUCUGGCUCCUUCAGAGUACGACGAGGUCUGUCUUAGGGGCUGGAUGUGUUCACUUGGCUGAGCCUCUUAAUUCUGGGCCUUUGCAGCAGCAUUACCUGCAGAGACACUUUUCCUCUUUGCCAGUUUCUCCUGCCAACGUGGAGAUGACUCAGAGGCAAGUUCUGAGGACUUCUCUCAGAAAUUACUUGUUUCUGCUGGGCUGCUUCUACCUAUUACUUUGCUUGCACCUAAAAGAAAGAGAUGUAUCUGAAGCAGUUACUGAUUCUGGGGAUGCACUGAGUUACAGCUGGUACCAGAAGGUAACUGGAGUUUCUGAGGAGGACAAUCCCAGUCCUGCUCACCUCCCCAGAUCCCCACAUACCUUGUGAUGCCAGCGCAGCUCGCUCUCACUACGAUCAGCUUCUACCAACUACCCCAAAGCUGAAGGGAUGGGGAUGGCCUCAGACUUCCCCAUGGCAAAUCACCAACGCAUGUGACAGCCUCUCUCUCUCUGCAUACGUGGAGAGGCUUCCAGCCAGCGCUGUCGUGGAGUAAAGCUGAAAAUAUGCCUCUCUAAGGCUCAAAAGCCUGAAGGCAACAACGAACAAAUAAACCAAACCUGUUGUUUUGAACCCUAACUGAAAAGAAAGGUGGAGGAAGGUAAACAUGCUGUCAAGAUAUAUUGAAGACUUGUGAAAAUAAAGCAAUUUAAAACUGACAUCUAAGAGAAGAGUUCUUUCAUGGGUUUCCCUUUUUAAUCAUAUUCCCUCAGCAAUUACAAUUCAAAUGCUACAGCAGCGUGCAAACUUGUGCAUGAAAUGCAAUAGCAGAAUGAAGCGGCCAACAGUCAAUUAGAGUGAUACUCUGCAGUUCAUUCCCAUUGCAGGGAGAGAAUAAAACCUAAAAUUCGACCCAAAUGGGGAUUUGUGACAACGCUGCAUGCCAUGCCCCACCCCUGUGCACUCUUCUUCACACUCACCACUUUUUCCAGCCGCAGCUGAGGUUGUGCACGUGCAACAAAGUGAGCAGAGAGUUCUCGUGCAUGUCUCUGGAUCAGCACACUGCAUGUGGCUCUCUGGAGGGAGGAGGCAGGUAACGGGCUGGGAUGUAAGCUCUUCUUUCCCAUCCUCCAGUCCUCAUGAAGAAGUAGCAGCUCUUGUUCAUGCGAUCCCAAGGGAGGGAGGGGCUUGAAUUUUGGGUGGUCCUGUGUGGGGCCAGACAUGGGGCUAGAUAAUCCUUG
This is a long non-coding RNA of Gallus gallus (chicken), 1846 nucleotides long. The record is from Ensembl. Lineage: Eukaryota; Metazoa; Chordata; Aves; Galliformes; Phasianidae.